Molecule: long non-coding RNA, 610 nt
Organism: Hippocampus comes (tiger tail seahorse)
Lineage: Eukaryota; Metazoa; Chordata; Actinopteri; Syngnathiformes; Syngnathidae
Exons: 2
Source: RefSeq, a predicted model, not a curated record
AUUGGCCACCCGGGGAAGAAGACGACGAGGCGACAACGACGUGAACGAAAUGUGCCUUAUCGCUGUGUGUUUUUGAGACGGUUAUCAGCUGACACGACGCCAGAUAUGCCGGGCCUCCGCAUUCCCAACAAUGGACCCAGAGUGCAGAGUCACGCCGGAUGUCGAGUUCUCCUUUUAAACAUUGUUGCCUGGCUGAGUUUGAGAUUUUCCUUAGUUGAAUACUUACACAGCCUUAAAUCCUAGCUGAGUCCAUUUUUUAAAUCCUCAGACGCUUUAUUGGAUUUUUAUUUUUUGUAUCGAUUCACGCUGACAGAGCGCCCCCUAGGUGGACGAAUUCCGGAAGAAAGUAACUGCAGCUGCGCGGCAGCUGAUGGCGUAACUGCUCAUAGCUGCCCCCUUUGGUCACUAGCGUUAUUUUUUGCAGUGAAUUUGAAGAUCCAUGUACUAAACUCUUUCGUCACUUGUAAGAAAAUUAAGUGAACUAGUGGGGUAGUGAAUAUUUUGAGCCCCAGCUUGCUAAUAUAAUGAAUUAUCAUACCUGUGUGUCCAUCCACAUGUACAUUCUUUGCCAAACUUUUGGCACCCUGUUUUUCAAAAAUGUUUUGAAAUU